CCUACGGGGGGCAGCAGUGGGGAAUAUUGCACAAUGGGGGAAACUCUGAUGCAGCGACGCCGCGUGAGUGAAGAAGUAAUUCGUUAUGUAAAGCUCUAUCAGCAGGGAAGAAAAUGACGGUACCUGAGUAAGAAGCCACGGCUAACUACGUGCCAGCAGACGCGGUAAUACGUAGGGGGCAAGCGUUAUCCGGAUUUACGGGUUGUAAGGGAGCGUAGACGGCAGUGCAAGUCUGGAGUGAAAGGCGGGGGCUCAACCCACGGACUGCACUGGAAACUGUACGGCUGGAGUGCAGGAGAGGUAAUUGGAAUUCCUAGUGUAGCGGUGAAAUGCGUAGAUAUUAGGAGGAACACCAGUGGCGAAGGCGGCUUACUGGACUGUAACUGACGUUGAGGCUCGAAAGCGUGGGGAGCAAACAGGAUUAGAUACCCCUGUAGUC
RNAcentral lists this ribosomal RNA (439 nucleotides) under uncultured bacterium. RNAcentral's name for it is "partial 16S ribosomal RNA". It matches the Rfam family "Bacterial small subunit ribosomal RNA", at positions 338 to 795 of the family's 1533-position model. The record is from RNAcentral.